CCACAUCCAAGGAAGGCAGCAGGCGCGUAAAUUACCCAAUGCCAGUACGGCGAGGUAGUGACGAAAAAUAACAAUACAGGACUCUUUUAUGAUGUUCUGUAAUUGGAAUGAAUUAACUUUAAAUCCUUUAAUGAGGAUCAAGUGGAGGGCAAGUCUGGUGCCAGCAGCCGCGGUAAUUCCAGCUCCACUAGCGUAUAUUAAAGUUGUUGCGGUUAAAACGUCGAAGUGAACAGCAUA
This 237-nucleotide ribosomal RNA is filed under the name Simuliidae environmental sample. RNAcentral describes it as "partial 18S ribosomal RNA". It matches the Rfam family "Eukaryotic small subunit ribosomal RNA", at positions 410 to 644 of the family's 1831-position model. The record is from RNAcentral. Lineage: Eukaryota; Metazoa; Arthropoda; Insecta; Diptera; Simuliidae.